Molecule: long non-coding RNA, 8951 nt
Filed under: Homo sapiens (human)
Lineage: Eukaryota; Metazoa; Chordata; Mammalia; Primates; Hominidae
Description: HSALNT0268233
Source: RNAcentral
AAGGGCGCUGCCCUGGACUCAGGGAGCUCACUCCUCCUCUCUGGGCAACAGAGAAAAGUCACCCACUGCAGCAAAAGCCAUGAGAAUAUGCUCAGUGAUAAGGCAGUGGCGUUAAAUCUGCAGGCAGUGGGCUAUCUGUGGGUCCUUAAAUCUAUUUAGUGCAUCUUGAACAGUAUUUUUAAGCUGGGAUAAGUGGAAUAGGAAGGAGUGGAGUGGAGCAUGAUGAUCAUGGACAAAGCACUUAAAACCACACAGUGUAAGGGACUACAGUCCCUUAGGAGCUGCUUUUGCAAUAAUUUACCUGAAAACUGAUGAUUCCCCCAACAACCCUGGGAGGUGGCAAGAUAGGAUCAUGCUUCUCCUUGCAAAGCUGAGACGAUGGGGACUUGGCAAGGCUGAGAGACUCUCUGGAGGUUGACAGCUGAGAGGUCAGAGCACCAGACCUGGGGGUCCCACAGCCCAGCUCCCAGUGUGGAGGGUCCUGCUGUGCCCACUGCCACCAAAAACACAGCUUCGCCCAGCAUCAUGCAGUAUCUGCCACACAGCGUCUGUCUGCCACAUGGCAUCUGCCACCUGAACUAUCUCCAGGCACCUCUGCAGUUACAGCAACAGCAUCACGAACCUCAGACUUAAACAGCACAACAGGCUCCUCCCAGGUCUCCAGCUACACAACCCUCAGACUUAAACAACAGCAGCGGCACCAGCUCCUCCCUGGGUCUCCAGCUCCACAAACCUCAAAUUAGAACAGCAGCACUGGCUACACCCAGUCUCCAGCUCUACACCUCUAACUUGAACUACAGCCACCAGCUCCUUCCUGGGUCUCCGGCUCCACAGACCUUAAACGAAAACAGCAGCACUGGCUCCUCCCCAGGUCCCCAGCUACAGACCCUCAAACAAGAAGAACAGCAGCACCAGCUCCACCUAAAGUCUCCAGCUCCACACCUCAAACUAGAACUUCAGCACCCGCUCCUCCCCGAGUCUCAAUAUCUGUGACCCUCAAAAUAAAACAGCAGGACCAGCUCCUCCUCUGGUCUUCAGCUUCACGACCUUAACUGUAACAGCACCACCCGCUCCUCCGGGGUCAACAGCUCCGACGCUAAAACUAGAACAGCAGACCAGCUUCUACCUAAAACACCAGCUCCGAGACUCUCAAACAAGAACAGCAGCACUGACUUCUCUCACCAGGUCUCCAGCUCCACGAUCCUGAAACUUGAACGGCAGCACCCGCUCCUCCCCGGGUCUCCAGCUCCACGAACCUCAAACUUGAACAGCAGCACCCGCUCCUCCCAGCGUCUCCAGCUCCAUGAACCUCAAACUUGAACAGCAGUACCCGCUCCUCCCCGGGUCUCCAGCUCCACGAACCUCAAACUUGAACAGCAGCACUCGCUCCUCCCAAGGUCUCCAGCUCUGCGAACCUCAAACUUGAACUGCAGCACCUGCUCCUCCCCGGGUCUCCAGCUCCACGAACCUUAAACUAAAACAGCAGUACUCACUCCUCCCCAGAUCCCCAGCUGCAGACCCUCAAGCUGCAACAGCAGCACCAUCUCCUCUCCAGGUCUCCAGCUCCAUGGACCUUAAACUAGAACAGCAGCACCAGCUCCUCCUUGGGACAACAGCUCCAAGACCCUCAAACUACAACAGCAGCCCUGACUCCUGCCCAGGUUUACAGCUCCACAAACGUCAAACUUGAACUUCAGCACUAGCUGAAGUCUCCAGCUCCCUGACCCUCAAACUAGAACAGCAGCACCAUCUCCUCUCUGGGUCUCCAGCUCCACGAACCUCAAACUUGAACUGCAGCACCUGCUCCUCCCUGGAUCUCCAGCUCCACGGACCUUAAACUAAAACAGCAGUACUCGCUCCUCCCCAGGUCCCCAGCUGCAGACCCUCAAACUGCAACAGCAGCACCAUCUCCUCUCUGGGUCUCCAGCUCCAUGGACCUUAAACUAGAACAGCAGCACCAGCUCCUCUCCUGGUCUCCAGCUCCAGGACCCUAAAACUAGAACAGCAGCACCAGCUCCUCCUUGGGACAACAGCUUUAAGACCCUCAAACUACAACAGCAGCCCUGACUCCUGCCCAGGUUUACAAACCUCAAACUUGAACUUCAGCACUGGCUGAAGUCUCCAGCCCCAUGACCCUCAAACUAGAACAGCAGCACCAUCUCCUCUCUGGGUCUCCAGCUCCAUGGACCUUAAACUAAAACAGCAGCACCAGCUCCUCCCGAGGUCCCCAUCUACAGACCCUCAAACUACAGCAGCACCAGCUCCACCCAAAGUCUCCAGCUCCCCACCUCAAACUAGAACUCCAGCACCCGCUCCUCCCCGAGUCUCAAUAUCCGCCACUCUCAAACAGCAGCACCGGCUCCUCCCCUGGUCUUCAGCUUCACGACCCUAACUAUAACAGCACCACCCGCUCUUCCGGGGUCAACAGCUCCAAGACUCUAAAACUAGAACAGCAGACCAGCUUCUACCCAGGUCACCAGCUCCGAGACUCUCAAACUAGAACAGCAGCCUUAACUUCUCGCCAAAUCUCCAACUCCACGACCCUUAAACUUGAACUGCAGCACUUGCUCCUCCCCAGGUCCCCAGCUACAGACCCUCAAACUAAACAGGAGCACUGACUUCUGCCCACAUAUCCAGCUCCACGAACCUCAAAGUUAAACUUCAGUACCAACUCCUUCCCGCGUCUCCAGCUCCACGACCCUCAAACUACAAUAGCAACACUGGCUCCCCAAUCCCAGGUCUCCAUCUCCACGACCAUCAAACUUGAGUUGCAACACUGGCUCCACCCAAAUUCUCCAGCUCCAGGAUGCUAACUGUAAUAGCAGCACCAGCUCCUCUGCAGGUCACCAGCUCCAAGACUCUCAAACUAGUACAGCAGCACUGACGCCUGCCCAGGUUUCCAGCUCCAUGAACCUCAAACUUGAACUGCAGCACCACCUCCUCCCUGGUUCUCCAGCUUCACGACCCUCAAACUAGAACAGCAGCACCAGCUCCAACCAAAGUCUCCAUCUCCACGCCUCCAACUUGAACUCCAGCACCAGCUCCUUCCUGGGUCUCAUGAUCCAUGACCCUGAAAAUAAAACAGCAGCACCAGCUCCUCUCUAGGUCUCCAGCUCCACGAACCUCAAAUUUAAAAAGCAGCCCUGGCUCUAACCCAGGUCUCCAGCUCCACCAUCGUCAAACUUGAACGGCAGCACUAGCUCCUCCCAAAGUCUCCAGCCCCACGACCCUAAAACAUGAAGAGCAGCAUUGGCUCCUCCCCAGGUCUUCAGCUUCACAACCCUAACUCUUACAGCAACACCCGCUCCUCCCCAGGUUGCCAGCUCCAAGACCCUAAAACUAGAACAGCAGACCGGCUCCUACUCAGGACACCAGCUCCAAGACUGUUAAACUAGAACAGCAGCACUGAUUUCUCACCAGGUCUCCAGCUCCACGACCCUCACACUGGAACUACAGCAACAGCUCCGCCCAGGUCUCCAGCUCCAGGGACCUUAAACUAAAAUAGCAGCACCAGCUCCUCUGCAGGUCCCCAGCUACAGACCCUCAAACUAGAAUAGCAGCACCAUCUCCUCUCCAGUUCUCCAGCUCCACGACCUUGAAACUAGAAAAGAAACACUGACUCCCCCCCACCACCAAUCUCCAUCUCCAGGAACAUCAAACUUGAACUACAACAGCGGCUCAACCCAAAGUCUCCAGCUCCCCGACACUAACUACAACAGCAGCACCAGCUCCUCCCUGGCUCACCAGCUCCAAGAUCCUCAAACCAGAACAGCAGCACUGACUCCUGCCCAGGUCACCAGCUCCAAGACCCUCAAACCAGAACAGCAGCACUGACUCCUGCCCAGGUCACCAGCUCCAAGACUCUCAAACUAGAAUAGCCACACUGACUCCUGUCCAGGUCACCAGCUCCAAGACUUUCAAACUAGAAUAGCCACACUGACUCCUGUCCAGGUUUCCAGCUCCAUGAAACUCAAACUUGAAUUGCAACACUGGCUCCUCUCCAGGUCUCCAGCCACUCAUCCCUCAAACUGUUGCUCCUCCCUGUGUCUCCAGCUUCAUGACCCUCAAACUUGAACUGGGGCACCCGUUCCUCCCCGGGUCUCCAGCUCCACGACACGUGAACUGCAGCACUUGAUCCUUCCUGAGUCUCCAGCUCCAUGACCCUUAUACUUGAACAGCAGCACCAAUUCCUGCCCAGGUCUCCAGCCUCAUGACCUUCAAAUUUAAAAAGCAGAACUGGCUCCAACCCAGGUCUCCAGCUCCACCAUCAUCAAACUUGAAUGGCAGCACUAGCUCGCCACAAAGUCUCCAGCUCCCAUGACCCUCAAAUGUGAACAGCAGCACUGGCUCCUCCCCAGGUGUUCAGUUUCACGACCCUAACUAUUACAGCAACACCUGCUCCUCCCCAGGUCACCAACUCCAAGACCCUAAAACUAGAACAGCAGACCGGCUCCUACCCAGGUCACCAGCUCCAAGACUCUCAAACUAGAACAGCAGCACUGACUUCUUGCCAGGUCUCCAGCUCCAUGACCCUCAAGCUUGAACCGCAGCAACAGCUCCACCCAGGUCUCCAGCUCCACAAACCUUAAACAACAGCACCGGCUCCUCCAGAGGUCCCCAGCUACAGACCCUCAAACUAGAACAGGAGCACUGACUCCUGCCCAGAUAUCCAGCUCCACGAACCUCAAACUUGAACUGCAGUACCAGCUCCUUCCCGGGUCUUUAGCUCCGUGACCCUGAAAAUAAAACAGCAGCACUGGCUUUUCCCCAGAUCCCCAGCUCCACGACCCUCAAAUUUAAAAAGCAGCACCAGCUCCUCCCUGGGUCAGCACCUCCAUGACCCUCAAACCUGAACUGCAGCACUGGCUCCUCCCCGGGUCACCAGAUCCCAGACCCUCAAACUAGAACAGCAGCACUGACUCCUCCCCAUAUCUCCAGCUCCAUGACCAUCAAACUUGAAGACUAGCACCAUUUCCUUUCUGGGUCUCCAGCUCCACGACCCUCAGACUUGAACAGCAGUGCCAACUCCUUUCUGGGUCUCCAGCUCCACUAUCUUCAGACUUGAACAGCAGCACCAGCUUCUCCCCAGGUCUCCAGCUCCAUGACCCUCAAACAGGAACAGCAGCACCGGCUCCUCCCUGGGUCUCCAGCUCCUCAAGUCUGAGGAUCAUGGAGCUGGAGACCCAGAAAGGCAAUGGUGCUACUCUUCAAGUCUGAGGGUCAUGGAACUGGAGACCCGGGGAGGAGCUGGUGCUACCGCUGUUCAAGUUUGAGCAUCUUGGAGCUGGAGACCCAGGGAGCCGCCACUCGAACGGUAGCUCCUCCCCCAGUCUCUAGCUCCAUGACCCUCAAACUCGAAGAGUAGCACCAUUUCCUUUCUGGGUCUCCAGCUCCAUGACCCUCAGACUUGAACAGCAGCACCAGCUCCUUUCUGGGUCUCCAGCUCUCCUAUCUUCAGACUUGAAUGGCAACACCAGCUUCUCCCCACGUCUCCAGCUCCACGACCCUCAGACUUCGACAGCAAUCCGGCUCUUCCCCUGGUCUCCAGCUCCAUGACCCUCAAACUAGAACAGCAGCACCGGUUCCUUUCUGGGUCUCCAGCUCCACGAUAUUCAGACUUGAAUGGCAGCACCAACUUUUCCCUGGGUCUUCAGCUCCAUGACCUUCAGACUUGAACGGCAGCACUGGCUCCUCCCCUCUCCAGCUCCAUGACCUUCAGACUUGAACGGCAGCGCCGGCUCCUCCCUGGGUCUCGAACCUGCCCAGCCUGCAGAUUUUGGACUUGCUAGCCUUCAGGAUCACAUUAGCCAAUUCCUUAAACUCAACCUCUUUCUCUGUAUGUAGGAUAUGGACACCUCCUGCUGGCUCUUUUUCCGGAGAGCCCAGUGAACACACCGUGCAUCAGGCUCCAUCAUUCACCAGAGCGUCUUUCCAACAGACUUUGCUGUGAUAUUUCUUAAAUAAAGGUCACUCCAAAGACCCUCACCUCUGGAUUGUAACCAACUCAGUGGCAGACUUAAUCCAUUUCUAUCUGCUGACAUUUCUCACAUGGAAUAGGCUGUUUGACAGAUUGAAGCUGUCUCCCCCCACUCCCCAGGCCAGUGCACACUUAUCUCCCUUGAAUGUUCAUUUUGUGCUCAUUUUAGAGACUGAGGCACAAAGACAGGCAAAUACAAGGUGAAGUCAGUGACAAAUAAACAAUGCUAUUUAGGCAUUGAGAGUUUGUUUUUGUGUUUGUGUUUUUUUGCUAAUUAAUUCCACCUGGUAGAGGAGGGCGAGGGGAAAGAGGAAGGGAGAAGUUUCCUGGCAGGGCUGAGAGGCAGAAUGGUGCCUGCACCUCCUGGAGUGCACGGCAAUGGUCUGGCUCUGCUGCCUUCUAUGGGUAAGGGCCCACCGGUUUUUUUUCUGGGACUUAAGUCACCUGGGCUUAUACUGAGCAGCCCUCAGCAAGCUCUUCUCACUUGCCCCUGCCACCCAGAGCUCCAGGAUGCCCUAGUUCCUGCCCCUCAAAGACCUGGGACUCCUGCUCCUGGGACCUUCUGGUCGGUUCUGCUUUUCCUUGCUUCAGGACCUUACGUGGAUUCUGUCACCUGCCACCUCAGAACUCUGAGCGACACACCCACUGCAUGUCACCCAGGACAGGUUCACCCAAGUCUUUCAUCCCAAGAAGGUCCUUCCUGGCACCUUGUGGGCUGACAGCAUCUCCAGGGAACCACAGGACUUCGAGGGGGCCUGGGAAGCAUCAAGAGCUUCAGGAGGGGAGUCUGUCACAGGUGGGGAUUACGGAGCCCUGCAGGGACCCUUAGAACAGGUGGGUCGGGGUGGGGCUGAGGUCUCGACGCCUUGAUUCAGGUUCCUGGCUUAUGUCGACCUGUCUGAAAUCUCCCACCCACAGCCAAGCCACUGGCCACCCCACUGCUGCCCUGUGUCACCCUGUUUUGAUGGAGAGCUCACCAGGCUCUCCCAGCUGCUCUCCUCUUGGAGCAGGGAGUGUUGGAAGUGGGGGGCUGAUCUGCAUAUGAACGUGGCUCUUAACCAGGUGAGGGGCUUGAAGUCCUCUGGGGCUAAUGACUGUUCCAUGAAUAAUGGUCCCUCUUAAAAUGUAAUUAAACAUUUAUCAGAUGUAUUUCUACAGAAACAUCCAUCUUAAGGGGGGACCGGAUUUCCUACCAUUCAUAUCAGUCUCCUGAAAUGAGGCAGAGGCACUCCCGGCUCCCCCUCCCCUCCCCGGCCUCAGUUCCCUGGGCCGGAUGUCCUGCUGGGGCCUGUGGUGCAGUUUCGGCUGGUUCACCCCAUGCAGAGCUUGAUGGGGUUGGGUUGGUUUUAAUCAGAAUGGUAAAUUGCAAAUGAUACAGGGCCUGGGCUCUGUUGGGAUACUUGUGUUGACCAAGUCCCUUGUGAAUUAAAUCAUUUAAUACUGGAAAUGGAAAAGGCCCCCUCAUUUUCCUUCUGAAUGAGCUGUGAAAUAGGCUCUGAGAACGGCCUCCAGAGUGAAGUGGUUGUCAGGGCUUGGCACCAAGAUCUGAUGAGGGGUCAGAAGACAGGGCACCAGCAGGACAGGGUACUUGGGGAGGCCUAUCAUGAUGCGCAGUAGACGCAUCCUGUGUCGGCAGCACCCCAAACUCGGGAGGCUGGCCGGGGUGCAGCUAACAUACCUGGGAUGUGUGCACUGACUGCAUGCCACCUGAGGCACCCUCGGAGCAUCUGAGAACCAAAGAAUCACUCCUCAGCUUCCCAACCAGGGGACAAGUUUGGGCUCUGGCAUGGGACAGCUCUUGUCUGCACUCCGAAUCUCUGACCUUUCUCAAUGCAGUGCUGGGGUUGACUUGGCAGAUGAGGCUGCUGGGACUCAAAUCACCUCACUGGCUUGAAGUCGUAUUUAAUCUGCUCCCAAGAAGGUGGAGCCAAGGACUAGCUGGUCCCAGCCAUGAAUUCUCUGAAAAUUAGAAGAAUAACAAAGCAUAUCAAAUAGGAUUAACACAAACACUUUUCAACACAGUGCCUGUGAGGCAACAGAAACAUGAGCACAGGAUGCCCAUCAGUGGGGGGCCACCAGGGCCCAAUGUCUCCAAAAGCAACUUGCUGGAUGUAUCAAGAGCUUAAAUUUAAAAAGCACUUAAUCCCUGAUGCAGUUAUCACACACAUAAGAUAUUAUCUUAAGGAGCUGUUUAUAAAUGCAAACCAAGAUUAUGUAGUAAUAUGAUCAUUGCCACAUAAACUGCAACAGCAAAAGUUGGAAGCAGUACAAAUGUCCAGCAACAUAGGAAUGGAGAAGAGUGCACGGGUUUUCCAGACAGGGAAAUAUUGAAGGAUGAUUUGAUCAUAUGCUUGCCUGAAAUUUUCAAUAGUGUGGAAAGUGCUCGUGAUUUCAUGUGAAGUGAAAAAAAUGGAUACAAAAACGUGGAUUUUACACUUUUAUCACACACACACCCAUAUUCAGAGGAAAUAGUUAAAUAAGAGACAGAGCAAGGUACCAACAGUAGUAACAUGUCAGUGGUAACAUUAUAGAUGGUUUUCAUUUUCUUUUUCAUAGUUGUUGGUAUGUUUCAAAAAUGAUCAGGUCUUUGAAAAUCAGAAGGAAAAUCAGAAGCAAGAGCACCAAUUGCUACCAGGUGAAAACCACAAUAUUCUCUAGCAAUUUCUGCAAACUAUAGGAUCCUUCAUAAAAUAUACAGGUCCUUUAAUAAUUGAUAUGUUCAAUUUUUCAAUAAAAAUUCUGAUGUAAAAUAAGGAAAGAAACAUUCAAAGUAUUCAUUUUGAUCUUGUACUCAUGUUUGAGAAAGAUACAGAGCAGUCAAAUUACUUUGGAAAGUGUAAAAAUUGGUGGUUUCAUUUUAAAUUGCUACCUCUAACACCUUCAUGUGACUUCAGUAACCUAUCUGCUCCCUGACAACCUUAAAGUGCUUAAUUACCACAAAUUUCUGAAAUAAAUCUAUCAUUUGAAUAACCUU